GUGGGUGUGGUACCGAGGCUUCAGCGGGUGCCGCCCGCCUAGAGGGAGUGGAGCGGAAUCAGGAGAGGAACCCGGUCCUCUCCACACAGCCCAGCAGGUACGCCGCCCAUGUGCCUGUGGAGAAGAGAGGUUCCUGUGGGGCAGACAGAGAGCCUACGACUAGAUUUGCAUCUUUACGUCCUGCGCGGAGGCUGCUACACACAUGCAGAAGUCAUGCUGGUGGCCUGGACAGUGAAGGGAGAGAAGUGGAUUUGGGAGACAUUUAGGAGAUGGCACCAAAAGCGAAGGAAGCUCCUGCUCAUCCUAAAGCCGAAGCCAAAGCGAAGGCUUUAAAGGCCAAGAAGGCAGUGUUGAAAGGUGUCCGCAGCCACACGCAAAAAAGAAGAUCCGCAUGUCACUCACCUUCAGGCGGCCCAAGACACUGCGACUCCGGAGGCAGCCCAGAUAUCCUCGGAAGAGCACCCCCAGGAGAAACAAGCUUGGCCACUAUGCUAUCAUCAAGUUUCCGCUGGCCACUGAGUCGGCCGUGAAGAAGAUAGAAGAAAACAACACGCUUGUGUUCACUGUGGAUGUUAAAGCCAACAAGCACCAGAUCAGACAGGCUGUGAAGAAGCUCUAUGACAGUGAUGUGGCCAAGGUCACCACCCUGAUUUGUCCUGAUAAGGAGAACAAGGCAUAUGUUCGACUUGCUCCUGAUUAUGAUGCUUUCGAUGUUGUAACAAAAUUGGGAUCACCUAAACUGAGUCCAGCUGGCUAACUCUAAAUAUAUGUGUAUCUUUUCAGCAUAAAAAAA
This is a long non-coding RNA of Homo sapiens (human), 793 nucleotides long. Ensembl annotates it as ribosomal protein L23a pseudogene 7. Its record names the gene RPL23AP7. NCBI's taxonomy places the organism in Eukaryota, Metazoa, Chordata, Mammalia, Primates, Hominidae. The record is from Ensembl.